CUUAGUGGCGGACGGGUGAGUAACGCGUGGGGAACCUGCCCUGUACAGGGGGAUAACACUUAGAAAUAGGUGCUAAUACCGCAUAAGCGCACGGUAUCGCAUGAUACAGUGUGAAAAACUCCGGUGGUACAGGAUGGACCCGCGUCUGAUUAGCUGGUUGGCGGGGUAACGGCCCACCAAGGCGACGAUCAGUAGCCGGCCUGAGAGGGUGAACGGCCACAUUGGGACUGAGACACGGCCCAAACUCCUACGGGAGGCAGCAG
This 263-nucleotide ribosomal RNA is filed under the name uncultured bacterium. RNAcentral describes it as "partial 16S ribosomal RNA". It matches the Rfam family "Bacterial small subunit ribosomal RNA", at positions 91 to 354 of the family's 1533-position model. The record is from RNAcentral.